GAGGGUGUAGCUCAGUGGUAGAGCACAUGCCUAGCAUGCACAAGGUCCUGGGUUCAAUCCCCAGUGUCUCUA
Molecule: transfer RNA, 72 nt
Filed under: Camelus bactrianus (Bactrian camel)
Lineage: Eukaryota; Metazoa; Chordata; Mammalia; Artiodactyla; Camelidae
Also listed under: 2 other names
Rfam family: tRNA
About the family: Transfer RNA (tRNA) molecules are approximately 80 nucleotides in length.
Source: Rfam by way of RNAcentral